UACGUAGGGGGCUAGCGUUGUCCGGAUUCAUUGGGCGUAAAGAGCGCGCAGGCGGCUUGGUAAGUCGGAUGUGAAAUCCCGAGGCUCAACCUCGGGUCUGCAUCCGAUACUGCCCGGCUAGAGGUAGGUAGGGGAGAUCGGAAUUCCUGGUGUAGCGGUGAAAUGCGCAGAUAUCAGGAGGAACACCGGUGGCGAAGGCGGUUCUCUGGGCCUUACCUGACGCUGAGGAGCGAAAGCAUGGGGAGCAAACAGG
This 253-nucleotide ribosomal RNA is filed under the name uncultured bacterium. Its description in RNAcentral is "partial 16S ribosomal RNA". It matches the Rfam family "Bacterial small subunit ribosomal RNA", at positions 524 to 776 of the family's 1533-position model. The record is from RNAcentral.